Molecule: long non-coding RNA, 4480 nt
Organism: Callithrix jacchus (white-tufted-ear marmoset)
Lineage: Eukaryota; Metazoa; Chordata; Mammalia; Primates; Cebidae
Source: RefSeq, a predicted model, not a curated record
UUUUGUUUUGUUUUUUAAUUCAGUAAACACAAAACUUGAAAUUCUUAUUAACACAAGUGGCUUAGGAUGGAAAUUCUUCGCACUGUUUACAUUUUAGUAAAAUGCUGGGAUAUGUUUAGGUAGUUUCUAGUCUCCCCACUCAUCUUAAAAAUGAAUAUUUGUAGUAGCACCUCAAAUAAAUUGGUUUCCACUCCACAGCUAUGGCCUUGGAUCUUUCUCCUUUGUGUGUUCCCUGACCCUCUGUUAGCCAACCUUGAGAGUUUGACCCUCUAUGCUUUUCACCCCAGGUCUGUGCCCUUGACCUUGCUCCGGAUCACCAGGUACAGUAGAGAAAGGAGCCACUACUCAUUCUCUUACCCACCAGUGCUCUUUCUUCAGAGUCUCCGAUCUCUGCCUCAAAGUGAUGCCCUGUUACAAAGUACAGUUGUUUCCAGGAAAAUGGUUUAUUCUCCAUCUGAUUCCACCAUGGUUAACACCAGAAACAUGGCAGCACCCUUGUUCCAAAGAGGGAAGGACUCCUGUAAGGAAGAGGCAGAAGGGAAGGCUGGAGGUGCUGGUCAGAAGCCACAGGAGGUGGUGACAGGAAAAGAGUCUGUGACAAGUGGAGCCACAUGGGAUAAGUGACAGUGAUGAUUGGGACACCAGCUAAAUCUGGUUUGUUAGGAGGUUCUGAUGAGAGUCUGCUACCCUUCAUCAACCUUCUAGGAAGACCAUUUCUGAUCUUCAACCUCAGUGUAGCCCUGAAUUCAUGAGUCAUUGACUCAAUCCACAAUAGCUGUAAUGCCACUCUGUUAAAGGUGUUCCUCCCCUCUCAGAAUCAGGAAGCACAGGAGAUAAGGCAGGGAACUACCUCUGUUUCUCUUGCUAGAAUGGGACGUGCUUUGGCCUCCUCAUGGAGAGAGAGCAUCCCACUUGGAAUGUACAGGGAAUUUUCCAUGGAAACAAUAUUGACACAGGGAAAGGGGGUCCAUCCUCCAUGAGUUUGGAAAGCUACUCUAUGUUCAAUAUGUAGGUCGGCUUUUAUGAAUUUGCCUCAGAAGCUAACCACAUUUCCAACACUCUUUCUCUAGUAAAGGUCAAGUUUAGGGUAAUGAGUUAAGCCAACACUGGAACAUAGUGUAUUUAUAUGGAGCUGAAGUGAAUCUUUCCAUUGUGGGUGUGUACAGGGAAGACAUGAGCCCCACCAACAGCAUUCCUCAGCCAAACCUCAGAAGCCAGAAUUCCAGCAGCGUUUCAGGAUUAUAAUGUUGACCUUCAGAAAAAAAAAAAAAAAGAACUCACCUUUAUUUUAAACUAAGUAUUGUUUCUUUUCACAUAUAAAAGGUAACUGGUGAGUUUGCUUUUUGAUGCUUCAUUACUUGAGUCUAGCUAAGUGGUUAAGGGCAUGUAAAGUGCAUAUCCAGCCCACAGUUCUUUAAGCAUUUAUUUCCUUGUCAAUGUUACUAUGUCAGCAAGUAUGUGUGGGUGGUAAGGAAGACCCUGGGAAUACUAACCAUUUUACUGAUUAAAUAAAAAGCUGCAAAAAUAAUGUAAAUGAGGAAAGGAACCAUCAGCUAAUCCCAACAUUCUAGCUUAAAAAAAAAAAAAUCAAAGGUUUGUAAGUAAAAACAUGCCAACAUUUCAUAUAUUUUUGACCAGAUUUCUCACAACCUUAAGAUAAACAUUGCCCACAGUGAGAGUUAAUGGUAGUGAAUGCCUUAUCUUUUAAUGUGCUUUAAUCUGGUCUGUUGUCCUCAGUGAAAGGAAUAAAAAGGCUAGGUUAUCAAGAGAGGAAACACAGGCCCUAUGUCUAGAUGCCUUUUACAUGAAUAGUUGCAAGCGGCAUCUUGAGUUCUCUGACUCUGAGGAGUGGAUUGUUUGUUGUCUUUGGCAUACAGAAAUGGGUAAACCGGACUCCAAACAGUGAUUCUUAAAAACUGGAGCAAUAGAUGUGUCCACUGAAGCGGAAUGUGGAUGUUUUUGCAAGUAUGCUCCUUCACUCCCUCCUGAUGUAUCCCCCACAGCCUUGGUAAUAUUGUGACCUGUUUUCUAGUAAGCAUAACUUUAAAAGCAGACUAUGAUUUAUAAAAUCACCUCUGCCAGGUGAAGGUUUAAGAUGGAUGAAAUAGGAUCCUUUGAACUUAAUGGAAUCCUUAAUGGUAAAGCCAACUCAAUUAGGUGUUUCUGUUAGAGUGUUUUUCUGCAUUCAUUCAUAUUUUCUGAAAAAAGCAGAACAAUAUGGGGAGUAUAUUAAUCAUGUUACUACUCUGGCUGGAAUAAUUUAUUAAACCGUAUCAUAGUUUCCUGGAAGAUUUACUAAGCCUCUUCAAUUACUUAACUCUUGUAGAAUAAUUUACAUACUGGCAGAGCAGAUAAAAAAAAACACAUGAAUGAAUUCAUUAAAACUAUUUCAGAAGCACCUGGAUGAAGAUAAUAUUUUCAUCUCCUCAAUCAUGAAAGACUGUUUUCUAUGUAUCAACUUGUUUUUAAAAAAUUACCUCUACAAAUUAUUGUUUCACUAAACCUUUUGCAUCAUCAACACUGUUGAUCAAUGGCAAGGAUUUAUUAAUUAAUAAAUUAAUUUUAAGUAAGUAAAUAUUUUAGCAUUAAUGCGCUUAUUUGUGCCAUUAAUGUUUAAUUCCAAUUUUCUGAUAAUAAGGCAUCAGUCAAAAUAAUAUGUUUUUUUUUUCAUUAGUAGCUGCUUUUCCCUUUUAGUAUUUUGCCUCUUUUUCUAAAUAUUGUAAGCAUGACUUGUAAUACUGCUCACAGAGAUACACAUAGGUCAGUCUCUCAGAAGUGCAUUUGAACAAAGGGCUUAAACACUGAAAUAAUGAAAUUGCAGGCUUUCCUAUUUAUAUAAAAGAUACGUUGAUUUUGUUUAAACGUAAUAGCCAAUUGAUUAUGAAAUGUACCAUUAAACGUACUACUGGGAAAAAGAAGUUAUAAACUAUGAUGCAUGCUCAGGAAUAAUUCUACACAGCAUACAUAUUGGUCAUAGUAGCUUUUGGAAACUUUGCAGUGUAUUGAAUAUAUUCCAAGUGAGUUGUCAUGUUCUUUUUUUUUUCUUCCCUACAUGGCUUUCAGCUGAUAGGCCACCAAUUUGUGCCUAUCCCACUUGCCAAAUAUAGCACAACUUGAUCGCCUUCCAUUCUUAGAAACAAUGGAGCCCCCCUUUUUUUUGCCUUGCAAGAGGAUAAAUGGAACUGCAGUCAUUUCUCCAGUGGCUAAUACCUGCCAGCAGAUACUGAAAGAUGCCAUUGAUUUCAAGAUGUAUCCUGAUUUCAGGGUUGGUGGAGUUUUGCCCUUGUUGCCCAGGCUGGAGUGCAAUGACGUGAUCUCACUGCAACCUCCGCCUCCUGAGUUCAAGUUAUUCUCCUGUCUCAGCCUCCCGAGUAGCUGGGAUUACAGUCGCAGGCUACCAUGCUCAGCUAAUCUUUGUGUAUUUAGUAGAGACGGGGUUUCAGCAUGUUGGCCAGGCUGGUCUCAAACUCCUGACCUUGGGUAAUCCUCAUGCCUUGGCCUCCUAAAGUGCUGGGAUUACAGGCGUGAGCCACCACACCUGGCCUAAAAUUUUGAGCAUGCUCUUAGCAAGGGACAAAUGGCCCACAAACUAAACUGAAAAAUGGAAUGUACAGGCAUGGCUAUCUAAGGGUAGCUUUUCUUUUUACCUUACAUUAUUCAUUCAUAACUGUUAAUAUAUGAUCAUAUUUUAUAAAUUACUAAACAUAUGCAUUUAUGGAAACAGCCAUAUACAACAAGACACUACAUGAACGAAUACAUAGCCUUUUAUACUUUGCUGCUAAUAUGCAACAUCUCUAGAUGUUUAUACCUAUUCACCUAAUAAUUUUUUUUAAAAAAUACAUAUGGUUUCUCUCACUAUGCUUUUCUGAAAAAAAAUUUUUAUUUCAAAUGGUGUCCCUAAAAUUUUGACUUCUUUGUUUAAAAUUCAAUGCCAAUUUCUUCAAAAGUGUGGCUACCUGACAUAAACAGCCUGUGUGUGGAUUUCAUUUGAAGUGCUGAAAAAUAAAAAGUCUAUGGGCUUUGGGGCUUGGCAGAACUGGGUCUUCAUCCCAGCAAUGACUCUAGCUCACAUACGUUUUCUAUUCUGUAAAAUAAAGGCAAUAAAACUGGAAUAUUGUGCUGUUUCUCUGAGCUGAUAUGCUGCACAGAUAUCACGGUGCAAGGCUUUAAGAUAUAUCAAAUAUGUUAUACCCUCUCAACUCCAGUUAUAUAUAAUAAAGAUAAAAACAUCUUAAAACUGUAUAGAGACAUGUAACUUGCAGUAACAUUUAUGCAAAUUAAAACGGGAAUAGAAAUGUCUGAAGCCAAAAGACAUUUGUAAACUUAAAAGGAGAACAAGAGAAAAAAAGUUGAGAAGAAGGAGUAGGAAGAAAAGACUGACUAUAAAGAGAGGGGGAAGGGAAGGAAGGAGGGAGAGGGCAAGAAAUGAACCAGGCUUUUUCCAUAACUUGUAGUUACUGAUGAAGUAUUAAUCACUGUU